CUGAGGCGUGACGACGAGGCACUACGGUGCUGAAGCAACAAAUGCCCUGCUUCCAGGAAAAGCCUCUAAGCAUCAGGUAACAUCAAAUCGUACCCCAAACCGACACAGGUGGUCAGGUAGAGAAUACCAAGGCGCUUGAGAGAACUCGGGUGAAGGAACUAGGCAAAAUGGUGCCGUAACUUCGGGAGAAGGCACGCUGACACGUAGGUGAAGUGAUUUACUCAUGGAGCUGAAGUCAGUCGAAG
RNAcentral lists this ribosomal RNA (245 nucleotides) under Salmonella enterica subsp. enterica serovar Hadar. Its description in RNAcentral is "partial 23S ribosomal RNA". It matches the Rfam family "Bacterial large subunit ribosomal RNA", at positions 1556 to 1782 of the family's 2925-position model. Lineage: Bacteria; Pseudomonadati; Pseudomonadota; Gammaproteobacteria; Enterobacterales; Enterobacteriaceae. The record is from RNAcentral.